AGUGAACGCUGGCGGCGGGCCUAAUACAUGCAAGUCGAGCGGACGCACAGUAAGCGUUCGUCUCUAAUGGUGGCGGGUGACGGGCGGGUAACACAUGGAUAGCCUACCUAUAAUACGGGGGGGACAUCGGGGGGCCAGAUCUGAUACCACAUAAUAUGUUGAACCGGAGGGUGCAAAAGUGAAAGGCAGUCUUGCUGUCACAUAGAGAUGGAUCCGCGCUGGAUUAGCUAGUUGGUAAGGUAACGGCUUACCAAGGCAACGAUGCAUAGCCGAGCUGAGAGGAUGAUCGGCCACACUGGAACUGAGACACGGUCCAGACUCCUACGGGAGGCAGCAGUAGGGAAUAUUGGGCAAUGGGCGCAAGCCUGAUGCAGCCAUGCCGCGUGAGUGAAGAAGGUCUUCGGGUUGUAAAACUCUGUUAUUAGGGAAGAAAAUAUGCGUAUUUAUCUCCCGACAUUCUGACGGUACCCAAUGAGAAAGCAACGGCUAACUACGUG
This 497-nucleotide ribosomal RNA is filed under the name uncultured bacterium. Its description in RNAcentral is "partial 16S ribosomal RNA". It matches the Rfam family "Bacterial small subunit ribosomal RNA", at positions 29 to 507 of the family's 1533-position model. The record is from RNAcentral.